This 515-nucleotide ribosomal RNA is filed under the name Mycobacterium seoulense. RNAcentral describes it as "bacterial SSU rRNA". It matches the Rfam family "Bacterial small subunit ribosomal RNA", at positions 8 to 526 of the family's 1533-position model. Lineage: Bacteria; Bacillati; Actinomycetota; Actinomycetes; Mycobacteriales; Mycobacteriaceae. The record is from RNAcentral.
AGAGUUUGAUCCUGGCUCAGGACGAACGCUGGCGGCGUGCUUAACACAUGCAAGUCGAACGGAAAGGCCCCUUCGGGGGUACUCGAGUGGCGAACGGGUGAGUAACACGUGGGCAAUCUGCCCUGCACUUCGGGAUAAGCCUGGGAAACUGGGUCUAAUACCGAAUAGGACCACUUGGCGCAUGCCUUGUGGUGGAAAGCUUUUGCGGUGUGGGAUGGGCCCGCGGCCUAUCAGCUUGUUGGUGGGGUGAUGGCCUACCAAGGCGACGACGGGUAGCCGGCCUGAGAGGGUGUCCGGCCACACUGGGACUGAGAUACGGCCCAGACUCCUACGGGAGGCAGCAGUGGGGAAUAUUGCACAAUGGGCGCAAGCCUGAUGCAGCGACGCCGCGUGGGGGAUGACGGCCUUCGGGUUGUAAACCUCUUUCACCAUCGACGAAGGUCCGGGUUUUCUCGGAUUGACGGUAGGUGGAGAAGAAGCACCGGCCAACUACGUGCCAGCAGCCGCGGUAAUAC